Molecule: long non-coding RNA, 234 nt
Filed under: Fragaria vesca (wild strawberry)
Lineage: Eukaryota; Viridiplantae; Streptophyta; Magnoliopsida; Rosales; Rosaceae
Description: long non-coding RNA (FVES_LNC005221)
Source: RNAcentral
AACUAGAAAUUAAGGUAAUACACAAUCUUUUUUAUUAUAAAUUAAUGUAUUACAUCCGAAGAAAUUAAAACUAAGGCUCGUAAUCGGAAUCAUCCGAUGAGUCUUCUUCGGUGUCAGAAUUAAUUUCUGGUAAUCUAUGCCUUUCCUCAUCGCCAGAGUCUUCGUCUGUUUCUUGAUUUGGAUCAACAUCAAUAAGCCUUGGCUCUUCAUCACGAAUUCGCACCGAACGACCCG